Molecule: ribosomal RNA, 661 nt
Filed under: Bacillaceae bacterium GUDS1132
Lineage: Bacteria; Bacillati; Bacillota; Bacilli; Caryophanales; Bacillaceae
Description: bacterial SSU rRNA
Rfam family: Bacterial small subunit ribosomal RNA
Source: RNAcentral
GGGAGCUUGCUCCCAUUUCUCAGCGGCGGACGGGUGAGUAACACGUGGGCAACCUGCCCUACAGACUGGGAUAACUCCGGGAAACCGGAGCUAAUACCGGGUAAUACGUAGCAUCGCAUGAUGCAACGUUGAAAGUUGGCCUCUGGCUAACACUGUAGGAUGGGCCCGCGGCGCAUUAGCUAGUUGGUAAGGUAACGGCUUACCAAGGCCACGAUGCGUAGCCGACCUGAGAGGGUGAUCGGCCACACUGGGACUGAGACACGGCCCAGACUCCUACGGGAGGCAGCAGUAGGGAAUCUUCCGCAAUGGACGAAAGUCUGACGGAGCAACGCCGCGUGAGUGACGAAGGCCUUCGGGUCGUAAAGCUCUGUUGUUAGGGAAGAACAAGUACCGUUCGAAUAGGGCGGUACCUUGACGGUACCUAACCAGAAAGCCACGGCUAACUACGUGCCAGCAGCCGCGGUAAUACGUAGGUGGCAAGCGUUGUCCGGAAUUAUUGGGCGUAAAGCGCGCGCAGGCGGUCUCUUAAGUCUGAUGUGAAAGCCCACGGCUCAACCGUGGAGGGCCAUUGGAAACUGGGGGACUUGAGUGCAGAAGAGGAGAGUGGAAUUCCACGUGUAGCGGUGAAAUGCGUAGAUAUGUGGGAGGAACACCAGUGGCG